CAAAAACACACAGCCGUCCCCUCCUGUGCGGGCCACAUGAGGUCUGUUAUUCCGCUGCUUUUGUAGCUGUUAAUAAGAAAAAAUGUCUUUCAGAACCCAUCUCUUUUGAUCCUGCCUCUGUCUGCACUCUGCACAAUGGCUCUCCUGUGGUCCGCACAGAUAAAAAGAGAGAGAACGAGCCAGGCUGAGAGAGAAAGGCAGGGGUCUCGGUGGUCCGGGCGGUGUUGCCGUCUCUGCGUGGAGGAGAGUUUGGGCUCUCGUGAUGAGCUCGUCUCGGGACUGACCUUUCACUCCGAUCGUGUCCGUCCAUUAUCAACGUCGCUGCUACUCGUCUAAUGGACGGGAACGUAAUAUCUCACCGAGGAGAGUACAGGACCGAGGAGGAACGGCGGCUAGAGAGACGAUAAAGCAUACAUCACUCUCAUCUCCCAUCUAAUAAACCUCCCCAUUACGACUAUUCAUUUAGAGGCAGCCCUGAUCCAAGGCAAAUAACCUAAUUAUCUGCUUCUACUGGAUCAUUAUUAUAAUCACAUAUUAUAAUCGUUAUUAUCUAUUUGCUUAGCGUUAGCGGAGGUGUUCACCCAGGCCGGCCUGCUAUACGUCUGUCUCGCACACACACACAUGCAGGAUAAGAUCAGGACUUUUCUGUUUGAUUAGUAAAAAUAGUCAUUUGUGAUUUGUGUGUGUGUGUAUGUGUGUGUGUGUGUGUGUGUGUGUGUGUGUGUGUGUGUGUGUAUGGCUACUCUGCAUUAGUGCUUAAUGGGAUGGUAGGUAACUGUGGCUGUAUGCUUGACCAUUAAGUGGUGACUGGUCAGGUUGUGGUCAGCUGGCAUUUGGGUUGAGCGAUACAGAGAGAGGGGGAUAUAGAGACAAUAAGACAGAGGAGAAGAGAGAGAGAGAGAAACACAGAAAGAGAUAGAUGGAUACAUAGAUAGACAGAAACAGAGACAGAAAGUGAGACAGAGAGGCAGUGGUGUGUUUUGUUCUGAUUGAAGCGAGGUUGACGCGUAGUACACUCUGAUAUAAACGAGGUUGACGUGUAGUACACUCUGAUAUGAGCGAGGUUGACGUGUAGUACACUCUGGUAUAAGCGAGGUUGACGUGUAGUACACUCUGAUAUGAGCGAGGUUGACGUGUAGUACACUCUGAUAUAAACGAGGUUGACGUGUAGUACACUCUGAUAUAAACGAGGUUGACGUGUAGUACACUUUGUAGCUGUAAUAACAACGCUGGUUGGUUGAUUAUGUCCCCAGCAGAAGAGAACUAUCACACAGAGAAGCGAAUGUUUAUUCAUUAACAUUACUCACUCUCCCAGCACGCUGCUCUACAUCUCCACUUUACACGUGCCUCUAAACUGCCACCUGAUUGGCUGGGUCAUGUCAAGCUGACCCGUCUUUCAAUCUUUAAAGCACUCUGUUCUGCCAGGAAUAAAUAAACAAAUAAAUAAAUAAAAGGACAAAAAAAUAUUCAGACUGUCGGUGUGUUACAAAUUGCCGAUGCUAGAGACCUCUGAUAAUUUUUUUUGGUCCCAAUUAAUUGUUGUUUUUCUAAUAAUAUAAUUUCUGAGCUAUUUGUUUAGAAAUAAAUCAAUUUUCUCGAGCAGAAAGCAAUAUCAUAAAGGUUUCAGCUUUUGCCACAUGCUGCUACUCACUGUUUGGCUAAACUAGCCGACUAGCCGCUGGUCAAAAUGUCACCAAAUCCCUGGGGAAAAAAAGAGAGAGUGGUUCAUUUGUUAGCCUCUCACCCCUCUCCAAACUAAUCACGUGCCAAAUUGAUAAAAUUAUCACACUUUUCCUUUUUGAAUUCAGCAGACGUACCAUGAAAUAUCAUUAGCGCCUCCAUCUGCGUGCGCGUCAUUACCUAUCCGAGCGUAGGAGGUUCGCGCUACGCUCGCUAUCGUCAAAAUCAUUGUUUUACCAGACGAAGCUAUGACAAGUCACCGGUAAAUUUAAUCUAAUGAUAUGCAAAUUUGGGAAAAAAAGACAAUUAGGGCUGCUCAGACUGAUGUUGGCAUGCGUGUCAGAGCGCAGCUCCACCGUCCCCCGAUCUGCGGAUGCGUAUGAAUCAGAUUAGCGGAAUAAUGAGAGCGAGAGAGAGCUUUAGCCUCGAGUGGCAUUUUCAUCCAGGCCUGUUCCAGUGCAGGAGGAAUUUCUGUAAAGGCUUAAUAAUCAGCUCGUGAUUCGCGUUUAUCUCAGACGGAGAGUGUUUUCUGGUCUACGAACGGUCGUUCACGUCCUAAUAUGCGCGAUCGAGCAAACACAAUGGUGCUUCUGAUCUCCUACGAGCAUUCCUGUCACGUUUGAUAAAUAGCACGGGCCGAGAUGUAAAUAAGCUCAUAAGCUUCUACUGUGAUAUCUGCAUAACUGAUCUAUAAAGCUUCACCGCUCCGGUGUACUCCUGAACGCAGACAUGCAGCGACACAGAGCGACUUUGUGUGACUUUUCCUGAACAGUGCGAACACGUUUAACACGGCGCUAACCUCCCACCUAACUCUCACCGUUAAUGCACAGAGACUGCCCGUUUUUCAUGUUACUGUACGUUUCUCUUGGCAGGUCAGUCAGGGCCUCUACUUUCUUCAAACCAGAAGUCAUUUUCUCAUUUCUCAUAAUUAAGAGUUAAUUGGGAGUGCACCUGUGGUUGUAUUUAAAGUGCUUACCUUUACAGCCAGUGCCUUUUAACCCUUGAUACCAUGAGACAAUCUGCGGACCUCCGCAAGUCCAGUUCCUCCUGAGAGGCAGGUACCACGGGCAUCUGUACAAACUUUGGCCCUAAAGAACAAGCUUUAGUCAAGUUAAGUUAAGGCUCUGUGUUACUGAUUAGAAGGUCGGGAGUUCAAGCCCCAGCACUGCCACAGUCUGGGUUGCUGAUCGGAAGGUCGGGAGUUCAAGCCCCAGCACUGCCACAGUCUGGGUUACUGAUCGGAAGGUCUGGGGUUCAAGCCCCAGCACUGCCACAGUCUGGGUUACUGAUCGGAAGGUCGGGGAUUCAAGCCCCAGCACUGCCACAGUCUGGGUUACUGAUCGGAAGCUCGGGGGUUCAAGCCCCAGCACUGCCACAGUCUGGGUUACUGAUCGGAAGGUCGGGGGUUCAAGCCCCAGCACUGCCACAGUCUGGGUUACUGAUCGGAAGCUCGGGGGUUCAAGCCCCGGCACUACCACAGUCUGGGUUACUGAUCGGUAGAUCCAGCACUGCCAAGCUGCCACUGUUGUGCCCUUAACCCUCUCUGCUCCAGGGGCGCUGUAUCAUGGCUGACCCUGUGCACUGACCCCAACCUCCUGACAUGCUGGAGGAAAGAAUGACAUGUGAAGAAAAGAAUUUCACUUUGCACAUGCAUAGGUGAUCAGUAAAGACUUUUACCCUAUCCAGUAAAGACUCAUUUCCAUUAUCCUUAGUCCUAAAGGUUCGACUGAACCCCUAGACAACAAAGGAACUGGUGACGGAACUGGAGGCAUCAAGUACCCAAAUAUGUACAGCCACCUUUAAGAGAUUCUUACAUCGCUAUGUCCUGAGAGGCUGUACGGAAGAAGCCACUACUCCAAGACAGGCAUUUGCAUUAGAUCAGCAGCAUUUCCUCAGGUCAAAUAAAACAUAAUGGGCCAUAAUGAUCAAUUGUGAAGCAUGGGGGUGGCAGCAUCAUGUUAUGGGGAUGUUUUGCUCGGAAAGGGGCUGGUGCAUUUAUAUAAAGUAUAACCUCAAGACAUAAGACAGAAAGUUAAAACUUGGGUCUUCCAGCAGAACAGUGAUCCUAAGCAUACGUCCCACGCUGUAAC
Molecule: long non-coding RNA, 3770 nt
Organism: Ictalurus punctatus (channel catfish)
Lineage: Eukaryota; Metazoa; Chordata; Actinopteri; Siluriformes; Ictaluridae
Source: Ensembl